Unclassified non-coding RNA from Pongo abelii (Sumatran orangutan), 148 nucleotides. It matches the Rfam family "Metazoan signal recognition particle RNA". Rfam says of the family: The signal recognition particle (SRP) is a universally conserved ribonucleoprotein. The record is from Ensembl. NCBI's taxonomy places the organism in Eukaryota, Metazoa, Chordata, Mammalia, Primates, Hominidae.
GCCAGGUGUUGUUGCGGGCGCCUGUAAUCCCAGCUACUCUGGAGGCUGAGGCAGGAGAAUUGCUUGAACCCAGGAGGUGGAGGUUGCAGUGAGCUGACGUCGUGCCACUGUGCUCCAGCCUGGGUGACAGAGCAAGACUCUGUCUCAA